GUGCUUAUCGUGCAGCAUAUGUCUUUUAUAUGAUAAGGUCGAUUAGUGGUCGAAGAUUCGUGUGCGAGUGACUGUGCGUGCGACACUUCAGGAAUGCUACGCAGACGUGGCCAUUAGUUGAUGUGUCUUGAGGGAAGCUGGUGGAUGGAGAACAUCGACAUCAUGCCAACAACUGCUGCUGAAAGGAAUAAAGACAUGCAUAUUUAAUAUGGAAGCAUAUGGUUGUCAUCGGAGGAGGUCAGCGCUUGAGGCGAAGCUGAGGCUUCUUCCUGUGGGCUAUGCAUCUGCCCUCCACUCGUUGGACGUUGGGAUUGACAAGAAGUGAGACUCUUGUACUCAAGGAUGACGAUCAGAGGUGCGUAUAGUUUUCCAACAAUCCACCCGCUUCCUGAGCUUCUCUUCUGAACUCCUAAGAUUCAUUCAUCAGUGAUCUCAAAACAAGCUCACUUGGUUGCCGACUGCCACAGCAGAUGGAUUAAAAAAAAGAAUCUGGCUUUGGAUCUUUUCUGACACACCUCAGAUGUUGAUUUCUUCACUGUCUGGACAACCUCUAGCUUCCAAAUAUUCAAUUUAUAGAUAAUGACAUUUUGCAAAAAUAUCUUCAGCUGUCUGCUGGAGACAGGAUUGACCUUUCAAAUGAAUACAUCUUCUUGGACGGUUGAUAGAUUUAUUUGUCGUGCAAAAUGCCAACGGCGGUGCUUCCGUGGUUAUUCUGAUUGGCUGAGAGAGGUUCAUCUGGGCCGACUCGUCAGCCUUCCAGGGAUAUUGCCUGACGUGCACUCUGCACUCGAUAGAACCCAAAGAGACCGAUGAAAGAUUGCUUUCCUACCUGCUCUCAACAAUCAUCAGUGAAUUCGCAGUGAUGUUGGUUAUACUUUGAAAGUUUAUUACGUAGAGGAAUGGGGAAAAAAGUGUCAGUAAAGUUUUUUUUUUUUUUUUACAAAGCUGCAAUUUUUGGUCCAUAAAUUGAAUACGGUGCAAAACAGGAAAAAAAAAUGAGUACAGCAUGACUGCCCUCCCAUGUGUUAUUUAUAGCAUAGUUAGUGUCAACUGUUGUUAAAAAAAAAACAAAAAAACUGAAUGUCAAACACACACACGGGAAGAGAGAUGUUUGCCAAAUGAUUAAUAAUUUAGCAGUGAGGGUCAAACAAUAUCAGACCCCUCCUCUUAAAUGUCAGGAAGUGGUUUUGACCUCACAAUUGCAGCAGAAUGGAAGCUGAACGCGAUGGGAACGAUGAGCAAUUCGCUUAUCGGCCGACUCUGAGCAAUUAUGAUUGAUUAUAACUCCCGCGAGCCAUUCAUGCAGCCGACUCCUCUGUGCACAAAAUUGGUUCUUGGCUCUGGGCGGAUGCUCGUGUCACACAGGAACACUUGAAAGCUGUUUUUUUUUUUUUUUUCUUCCCCAGUGCUGUAAUGUCAGGUUACUCUCCUUGAGUUUUAGUCUUUUUUCAAAGUGACUUGUGAAACUUGACUUGAAAAAAGGAGUGAACAUCUUUGAGAUUUAUAGAGUGUAAAGCCGUGAAAGAUGAUUGGCUGUUUUUUUUCUUUUCUUUUCAUUCUUCAACAAAGACUACCCAAAAUUGCCCCUGUGCUGUGUGCGCAAAGAAAAGAAGUGUGAAACAAACAGCAGGCUGUUAUUUUCUCUAGUUGCUUUGUUAAAUGCGACACGGGGUGUCUUGAACCCGUGCUGAGUGCAAAAACCUUUUAAGACUUGGAAGGCAUUGCGGGAAAAAAGAAAUUGAGCUGCCAUCGGUCGCACUUGCAGGUUGUUAUUA
Long non-coding RNA from Syngnathus typhle (broad-nosed pipefish), 1775 nucleotides. RefSeq lists it as uncharacterized. The transcript has 6 exons. The record is from RefSeq and is a predicted model, not a curated record. NCBI's taxonomy places the organism in Eukaryota, Metazoa, Chordata, Actinopteri, Syngnathiformes, Syngnathidae.